Bombus impatiens (common eastern bumble bee) is the source of this 1157-nucleotide long non-coding RNA. RefSeq lists it as uncharacterized. The transcript is spliced from 2 exons. NCBI's taxonomy places the organism in Eukaryota, Metazoa, Arthropoda, Insecta, Hymenoptera, Apidae. The record is from RefSeq and is a predicted model, not a curated record.
CGUUAAUUGUAAGACCGCUACCCGUGUCGUUUAUUUUAGAAACAAGUUUAUACUAUCGAUUACCCGAGCAAGUUCAAGGGUAGUCACAAAGAUAAUAUAUUCGCGAGGAAGAAUAAAAUCGAGAGUGAAGUAGAUAAAGUCAUCGUAUACCGUGACCAAGUUCGAAAAAUGCUUGACACGAGACGAAGCCGUAGAGACACGCCGGAAGGAUUAAAAACGGUACCCGAGAAGAACAUGUUGCCUCGCAGCUGAAUCGCGCAAACUGAUCACUGAACAUCUGCGUGAUCGAAACUGAAAACAGAGCGCCUCGGCAUAUGUACUUAUACAUAUGUAUAGUAGGUUUUGCUAGAAGAGUAGCACAGUAAACUGUCGCCAAUUUUGAGAUAUCAGGAAAAUUAGCUUUGGAAGUGAAGUAUUUGCUAGAAUGGUCAUAAUUACUAUUUAACAAACACAAUGUCGCAAUUCAAAGUACAUACAUAGAUCUUAAUCUCUGUCUUAAUAAUAAGUAAUACACUUUAACAAUACUUUAUUGGAGACUCUUGAAAGAUAAGAAAUAUUACACUAAUUGUAAGAGAAAAGAAAAUUCUUUCGUUGUUUUAUAAGUUUCUAGGAAAAUUACCUAAACUAUAUACAGUAGCUAUUAAAAAGUAUUUGCGGGCAAUAAUUGUAUUUAUUAUAGCAUUUACAUGUCAAUUAAUUACGUCCAAAUAUAUUAAACUUUGUUAUAUUUAGUAGUACUUUCAUAUUACUACAAAGAUUUAAUAUUAUUAAAAUGAAAUGUAGAAUUUGAUGAAAGAGACAUUGGAAAACACGAAUACUCUGUCACUGUAUAUUAUAAAAUUCAGAGGGUGAAUCUACAUUUAAAUUUCACUUUAAUUACAUUCAGUAAAAUAUGAGUUUACAUAAGCUAGAUUCAUCAAGUAAUUAAUGAUCAUUUACUCGGAACUUUCUAUUUCACACUUGCUAAAAGACAGAUUUUUAUUAACCAUGUUACUGUUCUAGCAAACAUGACAAAAUAUACAUGGAAUGAAGCUGAAAGGAAAACAAUUGACCAAAGACUCACCACAAAUUUGGCCUUUCGCUUGUAGUGUUCGCAACCAUAAUCAUCGCCAGCAGUUGCCUCCAAGGGUUUCUCCUUCGAAGUCGACGCAUGUUCG